This 167-nucleotide ribosomal RNA is filed under the name uncultured Craterellus. Its description in RNAcentral is "partial 28S ribosomal RNA". The record is from RNAcentral. Lineage: Eukaryota; Fungi; Basidiomycota; Agaricomycetes; Cantharellales; Hydnaceae.
AUGACCUCAAAUCAGAUGAGACUACCCGCUGAACUUAAGCAUAUCCUGUCCGAGUUGUAAAUUGAAGAGAGUGUCAUCCACACUGGACCAUGUCUAAAUUGUAAUGAUCCACAGUCCUUUGAUGGAGUAUCAGAGAGGGUAAUAAUCCCGUCUUUAACGUGGACUCC